Long non-coding RNA from Salvia miltiorrhiza (redroot sage), 1270 nucleotides. RefSeq lists it as uncharacterized. The record is from RefSeq and is a predicted model, not a curated record. The transcript is spliced from 2 exons. NCBI's taxonomy places the organism in Eukaryota, Viridiplantae, Streptophyta, Magnoliopsida, Lamiales, Lamiaceae.
UUUCUCUCUUCUCAAACUCGCCGCUGCCCUCUUUUUCUUCUCUUCUCAAAUUCUCUUUCCCUCUCCGGCGAAGCCGCGCCGGCCGAGCUUCUGCUGCUGUCUCUCUCUAAUCCCAACUCAAGGAGCCGCUCAUCACUCUUCCUCAAAGCUUACGCUCGGCAUCCUCAAAACUCUGAUCGGCUUCACCUUCUCCGGCUAAAUCUGGCAGGCUGCGCCUCCUCCUGGCGUUCAGCUGUCAUCUGCUUCGGUUGGCUUCGACCGGCGACGAGUCUAACCCCGGCGCCGUUCUCUCUCCUCCCCGCAGAGCCCCAAAAUCGAGCCCUAAAAUCUGGAACACCGCUGCUACUCCUUCGUUCGGAAUCCGGCGAGCAUCGUCGGCUGGGAGCGGCGCCGUCCAACUCCGGUUCUCAAAUCCCCCUCCGACGUCGAGCCCUAACUCUUCCCUGAGGUUUCAAACUCCGACCUUCAUCUCAAAUCCGACCGCGGAACCCAGAUCGAGCUCUAACUUUCAAUUACCAGGUCACCGCUGCUCCGCGUCCCCGUCUGAAAUCGCCGCCGACUGCUGCUGCUUCGCCUGGAGUCGUCGCCGACUGGAGUUGCUGCUGCUCGUCCGGUGGUCAGCGGACGUCGUCUGGGAGCGCCGCCGCCGGUCUUCCACGGCUACCGCGUCGCCGUCCCCUUCACCUCUCGAUCCGACCUCAGCCGAGGCGGGUGCCGCCGCCGCUGCUGUCCAGAAUCGGCGAGGGUACUUCGCCGCUGCUUCUCCGGCGUUCGGCUCUUCCUUCUCUGUCCGUUGAGCUCCGUCAGGCAGCAGGAGAUGCCGCUGAAAUCUGUCAUCUGCUCAAGAACCAGCUCAAGCCUCUCUCUCUCUCUUGGUUCAGGCGAUGUCGCCUCUGCUCAGCUGACGACCUCCAUCUCCUCUUCAUCGGUCAGCGUUGACGUCAUCUGGUAUCCCUCCCCGAUUUAAUGAAAUCAGGUUGAAAUGGAGGCUCCCCUGCUCUUUGGGAGAUUCUUGGUGAAAAGUGAUAGUGAGUCUUGCGUUGCUUGGCUGAAGUUGAGACUAAGAUAAGGAAGAGUUGUUGCUGCACUAGUAUGGUGGGGGAGUUGGUGGUUGUGGAGUUGGUGGGGAGAAAAGGAUGGUGGGAAGUGUGGUGGAGUGGAUGGUGGAAGAGUAGGUGUAGUGGUGGGAAAAAAUGUAGUGGAGGAUUAAUGAUGUAUAUUCUAUGUCUCGGUGAUUCUGUAACUGUAAUAAAAUACUGGCUUCUGUUCA